RNAcentral lists this unclassified non-coding RNA (334 nucleotides) under soil metagenome. RNAcentral's name for it is "partial contains 5.8S ribosomal RNA, internal transcribed spacer 2, and large subunit ribosomal RNA". The stretch from base 1 to 120 matches the Rfam family "5.8S ribosomal RNA", at positions 35 to 154 of the family's 154-position model. The record is from RNAcentral.
GAUGAAGAACGUAGCGAAAUGCGAUAAGUAAUGUGAAUUGCAGAAUUCAGUGAAUCAUCGAAUCUUUGAACGCACAUUGCGCCCCCCAGUAUUCUGGCGGGCAUGCCUGUUCGAGCGUCAUUUCAACCAUCAAGCCCUGCUUGUGUUGGGGUCCUGCGGCUGCCCGCAGGCCCUGAAAACCAGUGGCGGGCUCGCUAGUCACACCGAGCGCAGUAGCACAUCUCGCUCAGGGCGUGCGNNGGGCUCCAGCCGUUAAAGCACCCACCUUUCGCAAGGUUGACCUCGGAUCAGGUAGGAAUACCCGCUGAACUUAAGCAUAUCAAUAAGCGGAGGA